GCUGAUAUAGCACAGCAGGUAGUGCACUUGCAUGGUAAGCAAGAGGUCGUUGGUUCAAAUCCAAUUGUCAGCACCA
RNAcentral lists this transfer RNA (76 nucleotides) under Methanobrevibacter sp. RNAcentral describes it as "tRNA-Thr". It matches the Rfam family "tRNA". From Rfam's summary of the family: Transfer RNA (tRNA) molecules are approximately 80 nucleotides in length. Their secondary structure includes four short double-helical elements and three loops (D, anti-codon, and T loops). The record is from RNAcentral. Lineage: Archaea; Methanobacteriati; Methanobacteriota; Methanobacteria; Methanobacteriales; Methanobacteriaceae.